CUACGGGAUGCACCAGUGGGGAAUUUUGCGCAAUGGGGGAAACCCUGACGCAGCAAUACCGCGUGAGUGAAGAAGGCCUUUGGGUCGUAAAGCUCUUUUCUUGGGGAAGAUAGUGACGGUACCCAAGGAAUAAGCACCGGCUAACUCCGUGCCAGCAGCCGCGGUAAUACGGAGGGUGCAAGCGUUGUUCGGAUUUACUGGGCGUAAAGGGCACGUAGGCGGCACAGCAAGUUAAGGGUGAAAUCCCGGGGCUCAACUCCGGAACUGCUCUUAAAACUGCUGAGCUAGAGAUAGUCAGAGGCGGGUGGAAUUCCAGGUGUAGAGGUGAAAUUCGUAGAUAUCUGGAGGAACACCGGUGGCGAAGGCGGCCCGCUGGGGCUAUUCUGACGCUAAGGUGCGAAAGCGUGGGGAGCAAACGGGAUUAGAUACCCGAGUAGUC
This 439-nucleotide ribosomal RNA is filed under the name uncultured bacterium. Its description in RNAcentral is "partial 16S ribosomal RNA". It matches the Rfam family "Bacterial small subunit ribosomal RNA", at positions 339 to 795 of the family's 1533-position model. The record is from RNAcentral.